This 737-nucleotide ribosomal RNA is filed under the name Klebsiella sp. RNAcentral's name for it is "bacterial SSU rRNA". It matches the Rfam family "Bacterial small subunit ribosomal RNA", at positions 20 to 748 of the family's 1533-position model. Lineage: Bacteria; Pseudomonadati; Pseudomonadota; Gammaproteobacteria; Enterobacterales; Enterobacteriaceae. The record is from RNAcentral.
UGGCUCAGAUUGAACGCUGGCGGCAGGCCUAACACAUGCAAGUCGAACGGUAGCACAGAGAGCUUGCUCUCGGGUGACGAGUGGCGGACGGGUGAGUAAUGUCUGGGAAACUGCCUGAUGGAGGGGGAUAACUACUGGAAACGGUAGCUAAUACCGCAUAACGUCGCAAGACCAAAGAGGGGGACCUUCGGGCCUCUUGCCAUCAGAUGUGCCCAGAUGGGAUUAGCUAGUAGGUGGGGUAACGGCUCACCUAGGCGACGAUCCCUAGCUGGUCUGAGAGGAUGACCAGCCACACUGGAACUGAGACACGGUCCAGACUCCUACGGGAGGCAGCAGUGGGGAAUAUUGCACAAUGGGCGCAAGCCUGAUGCAGCCAUGCCGCGUGUAUGAAGAAGGCCUUCGGGUUGUAAAGUACUUUCAGCGGGGAGGAAGGCGAUAAGGUUAAUAACCUUGUCGAUUGACGUUACCCGCAGAAGAAGCACCGGCUAACUCCGUGCCAGCAGCCGCGGUAAUACGGAGGGUGCAAGCGUUAAUCGGAAUUACUGGGCGUAAAGCGCACGCAGGCGGUCUGUCAAGUCGGAUGUGAAAUCCCCGGGCUCAACCUGGGAACUGCAUUCGAAACUGGCAGGCUGGAGUCUUGUAGAGGGGGGUAGAAUUCCAGGUGUAGCGGUGAAAUGCGUAGAGAUCUGGAGGAAUACCGGUGGCGAAGGCGGCCCCCUGGACAAAGACUGACGCUC